This is a long non-coding RNA of Macrosteles quadrilineatus (aster leafhopper), 424 nucleotides long. RefSeq lists it as uncharacterized. The transcript is spliced from 3 exons. The record is from RefSeq and is a predicted model, not a curated record. NCBI's taxonomy places the organism in Eukaryota, Metazoa, Arthropoda, Insecta, Hemiptera, Cicadellidae.
AUCGGCGUCGCCAUCUUUGCUUGGCUGUUGUGCCUAACCUCUUGACUUUGCAAAAGUAUAACUUAGUCCUUUCAAUUUAAAAUUAAAAUGUAAUAGUGUAUAAUCGUAUCCAUAUUAUAUUAGUAGCCUAAGAUUUUUGUUGUUAGGUAGUUUACCUUCAGUUUUUUAGUUUUCUUUCACCAAAGAAUAUCGUUAUUGAAGAGGCUGUCUCCCAAACCAAGAAGCUGUUUUUCAACCAGUUUCCAGAGGCCAAAGAAAAAGAAACAUCGAGACGGUGAUAAAAGAUUGGCUAAGACCGUCAUGAAAUCGAAUUGUUAGCAAGUAGGAAGGAAGGAGAGAAACGACUGAGGAGGGAGAAACGACUGAGGAGGGAGAAACGACUGAGGAGAACGAAGACUGCAUCCCAUAAAUGGCUCAUGGACUC